Epinephelus fuscoguttatus (brown-marbled grouper) is the source of this 329-nucleotide long non-coding RNA. RefSeq lists it as uncharacterized. The record is from RefSeq and is a predicted model, not a curated record. Lineage: Eukaryota; Metazoa; Chordata; Actinopteri; Perciformes; Serranidae. The transcript is spliced from 3 exons.
GCCUCACGUGCUGCAAAGUGGUGUCAUGACCAGGCCUACCUUCAGGAAGCUCUCAUCUCCUGCUGGUGCUGUGGUGUCCCUGCCCUGUCCCUGGUCCAGAGUCAGAUGUGGCCACAUUUGGGCAAGAGGAUGGAGCUAUAGAGGAGCGAGGGGGAGACCUGACUCACAAACUGUAGCCACACCUCGCAGACAGCCUGUCGCUCAAGCAUCCCUGCCCUUGAAUAUGUGUAACUUUAAGCUUUAAUAAAUUGAGAACAGGGGUCUGAGCCUUGUAUCCUUGUAGCCGUCAGUGGGACUGCCUGCACCUAUAAAGGAGAAUAUAAAGCUCA